AUGGCUCAGGAUGAACGCUGGCGGCGUGCUUAACACAUGCAAGUCGAACGAUGAAGCCCAGCUUGCUGGGUGGAUUAGUGGCGAACGGGUGAGUAACACGUGAGUAACCUGCCCUUAACUCUGGGAUAAGCCUGGGAAACUGGGUCUAAUACCGGAUAGGAGCGUCCACCGCAUGGUGGGUGUUGGAAAGAUUUAUCGGUUUUGGAUGGACUCGCGGCCUAUCAGCUUGUUGGUGAGGUAAUGGCUCACCAAGGCGACGACGGGUAGCCGGCCUGAGAGGGUGACCGGCCACACUGGGACUGAGACACGGCCCAGACUCCUACGGGAGGCAGCAGUGGGGAAUAUUGCACAAUGGGCGCAAGCCUGAUGCAGCGACGCCGCGUGAGGGAUGACGGCCUUCGGGUUGUAAACCUCUUUCAGUAGGGAAGAAGCGAAAGUGACGGUACCUGCAGAAGAAGCACCGGCUAACUACGUGCCAGC
Molecule: ribosomal RNA, 480 nt
Filed under: Micrococcus sp. RMRC-S2-SY-6
Lineage: Bacteria; Bacillati; Actinomycetota; Actinomycetes; Micrococcales; Micrococcaceae
Description: bacterial SSU rRNA
Rfam family: Bacterial small subunit ribosomal RNA
Source: RNAcentral